CGCAGCCGCGGUAAUUCCAGCUCCAAUAGCGCAUAUUAAAGUUGUUGCAGUUAAAAAGCUCGUAGUUGAAUUUCGAGAUCGGCUUACUGGUCGUGCUUUUGUACGUACUGGUAUAAUCGGUUUCUCCUUUCUGACGAACUUUAAUGCCAUUAAUUUGGUGUUUUAGGGAAUCAGGACUGUUACUUUGAAAAAAUUAGAGUGUUUAAAGCAGGCUCACGCUUGAAUACAUUAGCAUGGAAUAACGGAAUAGGACGUUUGAUUCUAUUUUGUUGGUUUCUAGGAUCGACGUAAUGAUUAAUAGGGAUAGUUGGGGGCAUUAGUAUUCAAUUGUCAGAGGUGAAAUUCUUGGAUUUAUUGAAGACUAACUACUGCGAAAGCAUUUGCCAAGGAUGUUUUCAUUAAUCAAGAACGAAGUUAGGGGAUCGAAGACGAUCAGAUACCGUCGUAGUCUUAACCAUAAACUAUGCCGACUAGGGAA
RNAcentral lists this ribosomal RNA (478 nucleotides) under uncultured Glomus. Its description in RNAcentral is "SSU rRNA". It matches the Rfam family "Eukaryotic small subunit ribosomal RNA", at positions 569 to 1053 of the family's 1831-position model. Lineage: Eukaryota; Fungi; Glomeromycota; Glomeromycetes; Glomerales; Glomeraceae. The record is from RNAcentral.